Molecule: long non-coding RNA, 245 nt
Organism: Etheostoma cragini (Arkansas darter)
Lineage: Eukaryota; Metazoa; Chordata; Actinopteri; Perciformes; Percidae
Exons: 4
Source: RefSeq, a predicted model, not a curated record
GAGAAGUCAGCUGGUCAAGUCUCCAGUGGCUGGUUUUAUAAUGUAAGGGAUGUCACCUGUUCCAACAGCCAAUAGAGAAGUCGGCUGGUUAAGUUAUAACUAUAGAAAUGAAAUUAUCCAUAAUCAUUUUUCUUAAUUUUACAAACAGCUGGUUGAAAUGGCAGAGUAUUAGACGGAGCUUCAACGACCACCUGAAAGCACGGUACUGUUAUUUGGCCAAGCUUGAUAGAGAGAGAGACUGAAUA